This 385-nucleotide ribosomal RNA is filed under the name uncultured bacterium. RNAcentral's name for it is "bacterial SSU rRNA". It matches the Rfam family "Bacterial small subunit ribosomal RNA", at positions 29 to 414 of the family's 1533-position model. The record is from RNAcentral.
AUUGAACGCUGGCGGCAUGCCUUACACAUGCAAGUCGAACGGCAGCACGGGGGCAACCCUGGUGGCGAGUGGCGAACGGGUGAGUAACACAUCGGAACGUGUCCUGUUGUGGGGGAUAACCAGUCGAAAGACUGGCUAAUACCGCAUGAGCUGGAGACAGGAAAGCGGGGGACCUGAAAGGGCCUCGUGCGAUUGGAGCGGCCGAUGUCCGAUUAGCUAGUUGGUGGGGAAAGGCCCACCAAGGCGACGAUCGGUAGCUGGUCUGAGAGGAUGAUCAGCCACACUGGGACUGAGACACGGCCCAGACUCCUACGGGAGGCAGCAGUGGGGAAUUUUGGACAAUGGGGGCAACCCUGAUCCAGCCAUGCCGCGUGAGUGAAGAAGG